GUACUUUGACAGCACAUACACUAAAAUUGGAACAAUACAGAGAAGAUUAGGAUGGUCCCUGCACAAGGGUGAUACACAAAUUUGUGAGGAGUUCCAUAUCUUU
Non-coding RNA from Colius striatus (speckled mousebird), 103 nucleotides. The record is from Rfam. NCBI's taxonomy places the organism in Eukaryota, Metazoa, Chordata, Aves, Coliiformes, Coliidae.